Molecule: non-coding RNA, 775 nt
Filed under: Monochroa sp.
Lineage: Eukaryota; Metazoa; Arthropoda; Insecta; Lepidoptera; Gelechiidae
Source: RNAcentral
AAUAAUUAUGGUUUAAAAAUUUUAUUAUAAAUUUAUUUUACAUAUAAAUUUUAGUAUAUAUUUUUAAUUAUUUUAAUAAUAUUUAAUUAAAAUUUGAUAGUAAUUAAUAUUAAAAAUUUAAGAAAUUAAGAUUUAGUAAUAUUAAAAUUAAUAACAAAUUUUGUGCCAGCAGUUGCGGUUAAACAAAAAUUAAAUUAAAAUAUAUUAGUAAUUAAUAAAUAAUUAAAUUAAAAUUUAAAUAUUAAAUUGUUAGGUGAAAUUUUAAUUUAAUUAAAAAUUUAUUUAAAAAUUAUUAUGAAUUAAUAAAUUAAAGAAUAGACUAGGAUUAGAUACCCUAUUAUUAUUAAAUUAAAAGAUAUAUGCUAAAAUAGUAAAUAAUUUUAAUUGAAACUUAAAUAAGAUGGCGGUAUUUUAGUUCAUUUAGAGGAAUCUGUUUGGUAAUUGAUAAUCCACGAAUAAGAUUUACUUAAUUUAAAAUUUUGUAUAUCGUUGUUACAAAAAUAUUUUUAUAUAAAAAUAAUAUUUAAAAAUUAUAAUUAAAAAUUAAAUCAGAUCAAGAUGCAGAUUAUAAUUAAGAUAAAAUGGAUUACAAUAAAUAUAUUUAAAUGAAGAUUAAUUUGAAAAAUAUAAUUAAAAGUGGAUUUAAAUGUAAUUUUAUUUAAUUUAAUAAAAUGAUUAUAAAUUAAAAUAUGUACAUAUUGCCCGUCGCUUUCAUAAAUAAAUUGAAAUAAGUCGUAACAAAGUAGAAGUACUGGAAAGUGUUUCUAGAAAGAAU